RNA transcript from Lotus japonicus, 3736 nucleotides. RefSeq lists it as uncharacterized. The record is from RefSeq and is a predicted model, not a curated record. The transcript is spliced from 4 exons. NCBI's taxonomy places the organism in Eukaryota, Viridiplantae, Streptophyta, Magnoliopsida, Fabales, Fabaceae.
CUUUCUUAAAUAUCUAAACAUCCCUAUCCUCUCUGAUUCUUUUCUUUUCUGGCAGCACCCAUAAACACACGCACACCACGGUCCCUCUCUUUCUCUCAUUCUCGUCGACUGUCUUGCUCAAUUCUGACUUUUCCUUCUUUCUCUUCAUAAUUAUCUUUCUUUCUUAUUCUUCUUCUUCUCUAUUUCUAUAUAUAUAUAUAUAUAUAUAUAUAUAUAUAUAUAUAUAUCUCACCAUCCUUAUCCCCCAUCCACUGUCAUACUCGACACACCCAUUCCUUUUUCUUCAUUUCUUCCAUGCCAACUUCAUCACCAUAUAUCAUGUUCUUCUUUCUCCUUCAAUCAAAGACAAACCACCACCGUCCAUUCUUCUCCUUCUCCUCUCUAUGGCCUCAAAAGGAGCAGCACCCACACGCACCACAUGAGCCACCACCUUCACGUUUUCUUCCUCUCCAUGGCAGCACCUCACCAUCACCACCGCCCCUCCUCCUCACCAUGGCUGUUGUGUCCAGCCAAGAGGCCACCACGAGGAGGCCAGCACCACAAGGAACACGUACAGCCCCAUUCAUCAUAUGGUAUUGUUCAAGCUUCAUCAUCCAUAUCAUGACAAGGAGACACCAUCACCAUGCCACUUUACUUCCUCAUGUGAUGCCGUUGACGGAUUGUUUCGUGAUGCUUCGUCGUACGGGGAAGACCCGGAGCGAAAUGACUACUACUGAGCCUUCGACGUGGACCCGGACUGAAUGCAUGACCAGAUGAGGGUCGAUGAUGGAAGUAUAGGGUAUGGGUGUUUAGAGUCUACUAAGGUUGGGUGUUAGUGUCCUAGCUCUGACUUAUUCUUAUUUUUGAGGGCUUGUGUUGCUGACACUUGACCUUUCUUUUGGUUUGUACUUUUGCCUACGGGCGUUACCUUUUCUUACUUCCCGUCACUGGAGUUUUACUCGUGACGUGGUUUACUACUUACAGCGGGGGCUGUAAUAUAUAUUGUGUAUUAGUUCUGCUAUCUCUCGCAUUUGCGUUUAUUGAUUUUAGUCUUGUUUAUAUUAUCAAAAAAAAAAUAAUCCAUGUUUUUCCGCCUUAAGUUUCUUUUGGUUACUAAAGUGACGCCACCGAAAUCGGGGUGUUACAUUGUGGUAUCAGAGCUUGUCGAGUCUUUCGGGAGUCUUUGGGGAAUAGGUCUUCUGUGCUAGGUUGUGUGACUCUGCAAAGAGUGAAAAUUGAUUGUCUGCAAGCGAUUUUUCGCUUAGAAUUGAUUGAAGUUAUUGCUUAAUCAUAUUGUAUAGCAUGCUAGAUGCUAUCUUAUGAUGAGUACUAACUGUUUGAUUGACUUAACAUAACCUAGAUGUUAUCCUAGGAAUGAAUUAGUUGUCCCACUAUCAUUGUCUUUUGGACUGCAACCGAAUAAGAUGAUAUGUCUGUUGAGACGCCGUCGGUCAACAUUGGGACUAGAAGAGUGAAACAAUCGAAGGGAAAGCAGAGUGCUUUAGUAAGAGUUAUUUGGAACAAAGACACAGACGGUGCCAUAUGGGAGUUAGAGGAAAAGAUCAAGAACAAUAUUCAGAACUUUUACUGACCCUUAAGUUUCGAGGUCGAAACUUUCUUUUUGGAGGGUAGUAAUGUAAGACCCAAGUUUUUAAGCUUAGAAUAAGUGGAAGAGAUUUCCAUUUACGAUUAGGUUUGACGUAUCGUGAAGGGAAAACCUGAACAAGAGUUUAUCGAAUGGAAUAAAUUUGUGAAGGAGAAAGUUCAGGAAAAGUCUAAGGAUUGUAUCAGAAUCGAUAAAAGGUAUAGCACGAUCGAUUCGCUAAAACCUAGGACAAGAACCUUAGGAUAAGACUAUGUUCCACCCUUGGAACACUGUAGGAAUUUAGUCCAAAAAUCUUCAGAGAAAUGUUAGAACUUCUCUUAUUCCAUAUAUCACAAUCGUUUCGAUGCGAAACUCUAGGAUCUACGAACGUCCGAUUCCAAUCAUCGGAAGUUUGCCGAAACUAAAACCCUGAUAGUUCAAGAACCCUAGAAUCAACCGACGAUGAAGACUUUUUCUAUUCGGAACUUCAGAUGAAGAUUCUACACGCGUACACCCAUUUCUCUUGAUGAUUUCAAUCUUUCUUCAGAAGGAAGUUUUCUCUUCCGACAUCCACUGCAAAAAGUAACUUAUCGGGUAAAAUAGUUUUACCCCGACUUUGCGUUAGUCACCUAAAAUACCAGGAAACCUCUUUUGAGUUUUGGAUUUAUGUCGCCAAAACCUAUCUUAGAAUUCACGGAGAAUGAAGCCGGAAAAAUCGGAAUCACUCUUAUAUUUUUAUCUUAACUCUGAGUUAAAUCCUCCGAUAUCUAAACAAAACUGUACCAGUUUACAAAAUAUCUACUCAUUCUUAUCCUAUCUCUGAUAAAUAUCUAUUCAACCUUAUCCGAUCUUUGAUAUAUAUCUACUCAUUUCUUGGUUAAUGGAUCAUUUUAAUUUGCUCAAAGUGAUCAUAAUUUAUAUUUUACUAUUUCAUAAAGUUCCUCAUAAUUUUUAGUAUAGUUAUAUAUCCAUUAGAUAUUUUUCUCUUAACUUUGUGAGCUAAAUUCUUAAGUGUAUAAAUCAAUUUAUACCAGUUUACAAAUAUCUUUCUUAAAUAUCUAAACAUCCCUAUCCUCUCUGAUUCUUUUCUUUUCUGGCAGCACCCAUAAACACACGCACACCACGGUCCCUCUCUUUCUCUCAUUCUCGUCGACUGUCUUGCUCAAUUCUGACUUUUCCUUCUUUCUCUUCAUAAUUAUCUUUCUUUCUUAUUCUUCUUCUUCUCUAUUUCUAUAUAUAUAUAUAUAUAUAUAUAUAUAUAUAUAUAUAUAUAUAUAUAUAUCUCACCAUCCUUAUCCCCCAUCCACUGUCAUACUCGACACACCCAUUCCUUUUUCUUCAUUUCUUCCAUGCCAACUUCAUCACCAUAUAUCAUGUUCUUCUUUCUCCUUCAAUCAAAGACAAACCACCACCGUCCAUUCUUCUCCUUCUCCUCUCUAUGGCCUCAAAAGGAGCAGCACCCACACGCACCACAUGAGCCACCACCUUCACGUUUUCUUCCUCUCCAUGGCAGCACCUCACCAUCACCACCGCCCCUCCUCCUCACCAUGGCUGUUGUGUCCAGCCAAGAGGCCACCACGAGGAGGCCAGCACCACAAGGAACACGUACAGCCCCAUUCAUCAUAUGGUAUUGUUCAAGCUUCAUCAUCCAUAUCAUGACAAGGAGACACCAUCACCAUGCCACUUUACUUCCUCAUGUGGGUACGAAGGACGAAAGCGCCUUGCGGCGAAGCUAAAGAAUAAAAGGAAGCGAGCCGACGUGGAAAACAAAGAUGUGAUUGGAUUGAAGUUGCAGUUUAGGAAAGAAAUUGGCUAAGAUGCCGUUGACGGAUUGUUUCGUGAUGCUUCGUCGUACGGGGAAGACCCGGAGCGAAAUGACUACUACUGAGCCUUCGACGUGGACCCGGACUGAAUGCAUGACCAGAUGAGGGUCGAUGAUGGAAGUAUAGGGUAUGGGUGUUUAGAGUCUACUAAGGUUGGGUGUUAGUGUCCUAGCUCUGACUUAUUCUUAUUUUUGAGGGCUUGUGUUGCUGACACUUGACCUUUCUUUUGGUUUGUACUUUUGCCUACGGGCGUUACCUUUUCUUACUUCCCGUCACUGGAGUUUUACUCGUGACGUGGUUUACUACUUACAGCGGGGGCUGUAAUAUAUAUUGUGUAUUAGUUCUGCUA